Molecule: small nucleolar RNA, 107 nt
Organism: Dioscorea cayenensis subsp. rotundata (Guinea yam)
Lineage: Eukaryota; Viridiplantae; Streptophyta; Magnoliopsida; Dioscoreales; Dioscoreaceae
Source: RefSeq, a predicted model, not a curated record
AGAUUAUGAUAUGGACACUUCCUCAAGAGGUCCUUGAACCUCUCCCAUGUCUUGAACAAUUACUCAGUAUCCAUUUGAGUGAAUGAAGUGAUUUCUUAUCUAAGCUU